Long non-coding RNA from Amphiprion ocellaris (clown anemonefish), 3271 nucleotides. RefSeq lists it as uncharacterized. NCBI's taxonomy places the organism in Eukaryota, Metazoa, Chordata, Actinopteri, Pomacentridae. The transcript has 2 exons. The record is from RefSeq and is a predicted model, not a curated record.
AUAAAAAUGAACAAUACAAUAAAAAUGAAUAAAAUAAAUAAAAAAAUAAGAAUACAAUAAAAUUUUUAAAAUCAAUAAAAUUUGAAAAUACAAUAAAAAUGACUAAAAUAAAUAAAAUUACCAAUGUAAUAAAAAUGAAUAAAAUCAAGAAAAUUAACAAUACAGAAAAAUUAUUAAAGUCAAUAAAAAUUGACAAUACAAAAAAUGAUUGAAAAAUAAAAAUUGACAAAACAAUAAAAAUGAAUGAAAUCAUGAAAAUUAACAAUACAAUAAAAAUUAGUCAAAUAAUAAAAAUUAACAAUACAAUAAAAAUUAUUAAAAUCAAUUAAAAUUGACAAUACAAUAAAAAUGAAUAAAAUCAAUAAAAUUCAACAAUACAAUAAAUAAUUAAUGAAGAAAUGAAAAUUACCAAUGCAAUAAAAUUAUUAAUAUCAAUUAAAAAAAAAUAUACAAUAAAAAUUGGGAAAGUCAAUCACAAUUGAAUAUACAAUAAAAAUGGCUAAAAUAAAUGAAAUUACCAAUACAUUAAAAAUGAAUAAAAUCAGUAAAAAUUAACAAUACAAUAAAAAAUUUAAAUUAAUAAAAAUUGAUGAUACAAUAAAAUCAAUAAAAUCAAUAAAAAUUAACAAUACAAUAAAAAUUUAAAUCUGUAAAAACUGACAAUGCAAUAAAAAAUAAUGAAGUAAUGAAAAUUAACAAUACAAUAAAAAUGAAUAAAAUAAAAAUUAAUGAAAUAAUGAAAAUUAACAAUACAAUAGAAAUUAAUAAAGGAGUGUUGGAACCCUUGCGAACUCAUUGAUAGAGGAAAUUAUAUCUCAAACCACUGCAUUCUUGCUGAUUUGGAAAGUAUAAAGUAUUAUGUACAAAUACGAAAAUUUUUGUCCUUCAAAGGCUUUCAACCCCUACAAUUAAAAGGAAUCAAAUAAAUAAAAUUAACAAUACAAUAAAAAGAAAUAAGAUAAAUAUAAAUUAACAGUACAAUAAAAAUGAAUAAAAUAAAGAAAAAUUAACAAUACCAUAAAAAGAAAUAAAAAUAAAAAUUAACAAUGCAAUAAAAAAAGAAAUAAAAUAAAUAGAAAUUAAUGAUACAAUAAAAAUUAACUCAAUAAUGUUUUUCCUCAACAUCUCUAUGACUUAAACACAUUGUGGCCAGAACGUUCCACCUUUGUUAAUAUAUCAUAUUAGAUGAACAUUUUAUAAAAAUCACCAGAGGCCUCACUCACAAUUGGAAAACACUCUUUAAAUGUUGUUUUCAGAACGUUCCUACUUUGUAAUCAUAGAACAUAAUCUGUGUUCCUGACUACAACUUUUGAAUGUUGACGCUAAAAGAAUCAUAUUAACUUUACAGGAACAUUACUUCAAAUGAAAAUAUUUGUAAAAUGUAGUUUAAACAUUAGACUAAAACAUGAUAAGAACCUGCAGCUAAUGUUAGCGAGAGUGGUGGGAACGUUCUCCUGUGGAGCUUCAGAACCUCACCCUCCGCUAUGUUUCAUGUUUCAGAAUGGGAAGCGCCUUUAUAGAAGUGGCAGGAAGUGGAUUCAGGCUGAUCCUGGUUCUGGAGAGACCGGUUCCCUCCGGAGGGCAGCGGAGGUUUGCUGGAGGAGGCGGAGGCCAAGCCUCCAUCCAGCCGUCCGUGGAAAGGGGAUCUCUCUUUGAAUUGCCUUUCCCGAGGUUUCUUCCCAUCUUCCAUGGGGAGUUUUUUCUCGUCUUCAUAGAGAGCUUGGGCUGGAUCAAGACCUCCUCAAAAAUAAAACUUCAUUAUAAUAAAUAACACAUCAUUAUAGAUUAUUUCCAGAUUACAUUUAGAGUUACAUCCUGGUUAAUAAGUUGUUUACACAAAACCAAGUUGAGCUGCACAUUUUAGAGGACAUUGUACGUUUAUUAUAUAAUGUAUUAAAGAGCUACUUUACAGAUUCAGAUUAAUAAUUCAAAAUAUGACCAAAAAAUCAGUUCUGGUGUAUGAUUAGAUGUUUUUUUUCCCCUAGUGGAAAUUCACAAGAUGUAAAAUAAAUAUAAAUUGAAGCCAGCCUCGGUUUUAGCAGCUGCAAAAUUAAAGUUAUCUACAUGCUAAUGCAUUUAAAAGGUGUAAUCCUGUUAUAGAAAAUACACUUUUACAAGUUAAUUAAAUUAGUUAAAUGCAUGGUUGCAAGAUUACAAGCCCGAUGUACUGAUUUAGCUAAACCUUUUAAGUUACAUUUAUUUAUGUUUAUAAUGUUUUGACAUAAUAAUGUUUCACCAACUGAAUAUUGUGAAUAAUUUAAAAUCAGAUUUUUUGCUUUUGUUGAUUUAAUUUUUGUGUUAGUAAUAUUUGAGGAGAAUAAGAGGGUUAAUGGUUUUAUAGUUUCAUUAGUUUUAACCUUAGUGUCGUCCUGCGGGUCAAAUUGACCCGUUUUAAAAUUUGAAAAUGGAAAAAAAAUAUAUAUAUUUUCACAGUGAAAUUUUUGAUGUCUACAUUUUCAACAUUUUUUGGAAAUUUUUGAACAUUUUUUGGUGGAAUAAAAGAAAUGUUUAAAAAAAGUUUCCUAAGAACAUUCAUUCUUAAAGAAAAUAUUAGAAGUUUUACUGAUAUAUAUGUGGUCACAUUAGAUUUUUUUAGGAUUUUUUUGGAAGAUUUUUACUCAUUUUUUGAAAAUACAAGAAUUUCUUUUUUUUUUUAAACAAAACUUUUAAGGGAAACUUUUAAGGAAUUAUUGGAAUUUUCUUCCUGAAGGUUUUGGACAUUUUCAGAAAUUUGGGGAAGUUUUUCUGAGUUUUUGGAUUUUUUUUCAGACAAGAAAAACAAUGUUUUUUGGUGCCUGUAAAGGAGGACAACAGGAGGGUUGAUACUGAGAGUUUUCAGCUUUAAUGAUGCUAUUAAAGCUGCAGGGAUCUGAACUGGUCCCAGUUUAAACUAGAGGUGUAUUAAUGCUGGGUUCCUCUUAGAGCCGCUGCUGUUGUUCUACUGGUUCUCUGUCAGAAUUUAGAAGAACCUUCAUGGACCUCAUUCAUCAGUUCUUCCACCUGCAGUCCAAAUGUCUGCUGGGAAAAAGGUUCAACAGUGAAACUACAUUUUCUUCAUAGUUAAUCUGACUUUUCUUCUGGUCGGCUUCAUAUCUGGUCUCUGCAGGAAAAUCUGUCCUCUGAAGGGGAACCUGACAGAAAAAAAUCUGAGAACCACUGAUCUAUCAGGAGGAAGUGAGAUCAGGAGUCAAAGAGCUCAUUUACAUUUGUGUGUUUAACGUUUAUUUUUAUUUAAUGUUAUUGUAUAAAAUAAAUAUAAAUAUAUAUCUGC